RNAcentral lists this ribosomal RNA (312 nucleotides) under Triticum aestivum (bread wheat). RNAcentral describes it as "partial small subunit ribosomal RNA". Lineage: Eukaryota; Viridiplantae; Streptophyta; Magnoliopsida; Poales; Poaceae. The record is from RNAcentral.
UGUUCCUUCUGUUAGGAGAUAGAAACAGCACAACAUCUGUUCUUUGGUUGCUCGGUUGCCAAAAUAGUAUGGAGAGCGAUUGGGGUGACAUUGGGUACUGAUCUAUGCCCACAGAACCUUUGGCAAUUUUAUUCUUGGUGCCAUUCUUUCCUCCCUGGUUAUGACAACUUUUAUACUGUUGCCCUUGGGGCUGUUACUUGGGCAAUUUGGUUAGCCCGAAAUAGAACCACUUUUGAGAAGAAAUUGAUUAACUCUCCUUUUGAAAUCGUGUUCUCGGUCUGCUCUCUUCUUCUUUAUUGGGCAAGUCUAUAG